Molecule: ribosomal RNA, 123 nt
Filed under: uncultured Chlamydomonas
Lineage: Eukaryota; Viridiplantae; Chlorophyta; Chlorophyceae; Chlamydomonadales; Chlamydomonadaceae
Description: partial Eukaryotic small subunit ribosomal RNA
Source: RNAcentral
CACCGCCCGUCAGUCGCCUCAAUAAGGUUUGGUAGAAAGUACAAACCUUAAUAGUAUUUUGGUAGUAUAUAAUGCUUGGUUUUUAAAGAGGCGAUAAGUCGUAACAAGGUUUGUGUAUCUGAA